RNAcentral lists this unclassified non-coding RNA (240 nucleotides) under soil metagenome. Its description in RNAcentral is "partial contains 5.8S ribosomal RNA, internal transcribed spacer 2, and large subunit ribosomal RNA". The record is from RNAcentral.
AACGCACGAGACCUGCGGACCUGCGGAGGGAUCAUUAAUGAGAAACUGCCCCUCGCGGGUAGAUCUCCCACCCUUUGUAAACUUACCUUUGUUGCUUUGGCAAGCCCGUCUCCGGACCGCCGGCUUCGGCUGGCCAGUGCCUGCCAGAGGAUUCUAAAACUCUGUCUGUCAGUGUUGUCUGAGUCUAUAUACAAUCGUUAAAACUUUCAACAAUGGAUCUCUAGAUCGGAAGAGCACACG